GUGAAACGACCAGCAUUCACAUUCACUGUAUGUCCUCCGUCGUAGCAAGACCCACCCGGGCAGACUUGCGCGAUUAAGGAAGGCAUAUGAUGUCUAUAUUUUUUGUCAGAGAUUUUUUGAUUUUAAGCAUAUUUUAUGUUGCCUGCACAUUAUAUCGCUUUUACUCAAAUUAUUAAAUAGUGAUUUUAUUCAUACCUAUUAGCAGCUCUUAACAUUUCCUUGGCUCAAGCUCUGGUAUGCACAAACAAAAUUUGACGCUGGCUUUGUUCCGUGGCUUAUAUAAGUCUGGCACAGUUCAGGCGCAAGACUGCCAGAGUUGCGGUUGCGGGAACACUGAUCAUCACAUAUCCUAUAAAGGCUGAGCAAUUAACUGAAACGUGGCCAAUCGCUGUUACAAAAAUGAAUUGUAAAAUUGUUUAAAAAAACACUCAUAGAUUUGACAUUUUCUUCUUAUAUAAUUAUAAUUAUAAAUAUAAUUGGAAAUACAAUAUAUAAUAAUUUUUCAUAGUUAAAAAAAUAAUUAUUUUUUGCUAAAUUUUCAUUUAGAGUAGUAGAUUACCGAAACUGGAGAACGGAUUUUGUUAUUUAGGGUCUUGUUAGAUUCACAUAUUCUAGGAGAAGUGCUAUGAAGAUUUUCAGAACUUUAUCCUUCAAUCGUUAACUCACUACAAAGCUAUAAAGAUGAAAAACAUAAAAAAAAAACUCACAAUAAAAUGUGUUUUAAUUUUUUUUGAAGCUCUGUAGUGAAUUAAUUAUAAAAUAUAAAGUUCUGAAAAUCUUAACUGCACUUCUCCUGGCUAAUGUGAAUCUAACAAUAUGACCACAGACAACAAAACCUGGUGUCCGGUUUCAGAGGUCUAUCUCACUAAUUGAAAAUGAAAAUAAAAUCUAUUAUACAUACAUAUUGCAUACAAUUAAUAAAUUUACCCUUUUAAUUUA
Long non-coding RNA from Rhopalosiphum padi (bird cherry-oat aphid), 939 nucleotides. RefSeq lists it as uncharacterized. The transcript has 2 exons. The record is from RefSeq and is a predicted model, not a curated record. Lineage: Eukaryota; Metazoa; Arthropoda; Insecta; Hemiptera; Aphididae.